AGCAGCAGCGCGGUAAUACAGAGGGUGCGAGCGUUAAUCGGAUUUACUGGGCGUAAAGCGUGCGUAGGCGGCUUCUUAAGUCGGAUGUGAAAUCCCUGAGCUUAACUUAGGAAUUGCAUUCGAUACUGGGAAGCUAGAGUAUGGGAGAGGAUGGUAGAAUUCCAGGUGUAGCGGUGAAAUGCGUAGAGAUCUGGAGGAAUACCGAUGGCGAAGGCAGCCAUCUGGCCUAAUACUGACGCUGAGGUACGAAAGCAUGGGGAGCAAACAGGAUUAGAUACCCCUGUAGUCCCUGUCUCUUAUACA
RNAcentral lists this ribosomal RNA (303 nucleotides) under uncultured bacterium. RNAcentral describes it as "partial 16S ribosomal RNA". It matches the Rfam family "Bacterial small subunit ribosomal RNA", at positions 507 to 808 of the family's 1533-position model. The record is from RNAcentral.